CGCCAGCGUCACGACGUCGCGCAUGCGCGGGCCGGGCCCGGCUGGGCGCCGCCGCGCGGCCUUCUGGGACUUGUAGUCCGGCGCGGGGCCCGCAGUCCCAGCGCGGUCGGCCCCGGAGAGGUGCGGACUUCGUCUGUGCCCGGUCGGCGCCGGCCUCAGGGGCCUGUUCACUGCUGUGGACGCAGCGAGUGGCCCAGAGCCCGAGAAACUCCGUAAACAGCGGACAAGUGAUGUUAAUGACAGGAGCUAAUUUAUAUUGGUGUGUUGGGCACUUAGCCUGCGUUCGCCCCUUGAAUGAAUGAAUGACCACGUGCUAAGUGCCAAAAUACAGGCACAGUAUCUGCCUUGUUAGAUAUUUAUGGGGGAGCGAGACUAUGUUUCGGAGGCGGAGGAGAUGAGCAGCGUGCCCAGAAGCUGACCCUGCUGGGCUGGAAAGGGUUCCUGGCAGAGGAGCGAGCCUCUGCCAAGGCAGAGUGGCCUGGGGCUGGGCGCCGACUGCAGGGCUGCAGGGGCCGUUUGAGGUUAAGCCGAGAAUGACACACCUGAGCGGGACGUAAAACCAAGCUGCCAUGGGACCUACCUCCUACUGGCCAAUCAUUCCCCCCAAGGAUUCUGAGGACCAGGAGGGAGACCUACAUGAGAGCAUCUUUUGAGCAUCUUCCUGCAACAGUGAAGCUCCUCCAGCAGCCCAGAGCUGCUGUGGGCUUCAGCACCUGGGCCCUGCAAGGCAAGCCCUGGGCUGCCUGCUCACUAAGGUUCCCCCUCCUUCUGACUCACCUGGACUUCCACCCCUGCACCAAGACUACGAGCUUAUGGAAGAGGGGACAGCUUAAUACCUCAUCCUCCUGCCUUCCAUCAGACCACCAUCCUGUGAUAUGCCCAAGCAGUUCUAAUGAUCUUCCAGGGGGAAAAAAAAUAAAUAAAUGAAACAAUUGCAAUGAGCCUGUCCUAUGAUCAUAAUAGUAAUGAAUAAUAACAACACAUCACCAACAGCUAACACUAAGUGCUCACUUCAUGCUACGCUAAGGGUUUCCCUUCAUAUAUCCUUAGGGGCAGGAACAGGGACCAAGAGGAAAAUAUAUUAGGUACAGGUCAGUGAACUCUGAAUAGGCCACGCAGCAUCCGAGACUCAGAAACCCGCAGGGACCUGGCGGAGAAGCAGACUGCAUGCUGGCUGCACCGUGAGUCAGCACCAGCCUGGGAGACAGCCACUCAGGCGUCGGAAGGAUUCAAACAUCUGCAACCGGGCCCGAAGCCAAGGGAACAAGACAUCAGGUUCCAGAUUUACAGCCCCAUGUGAUAGGCUCAAAACUAAAAGUGUUCAUAAUUUCUAAGGGGAUGGAAAUUGGGGGAACCUGAACAGUCAAUAUACAAGGAUUCAUACAUCGA
Microcebus murinus (gray mouse lemur) is the source of this 1389-nucleotide long non-coding RNA. RefSeq lists it as uncharacterized. Lineage: Eukaryota; Metazoa; Chordata; Mammalia; Primates; Cheirogaleidae. The record is from RefSeq and is a predicted model, not a curated record.